This 248-nucleotide long non-coding RNA is filed under the name Lathyrus oleraceus (garden pea). RNAcentral's name for it is "Pisum sativum (pea) long non-coding RNA (PSAT_LNC037816)". Lineage: Eukaryota; Viridiplantae; Streptophyta; Magnoliopsida; Fabales; Fabaceae. The record is from RNAcentral.
UGUCAGGCUGCUGGUUUAUCAUCAAAAAAAAUUCUCUCUUACUUUCAGAUAAGGUCUUUCCUCCCGGUACAACUCCCGCAUUUACGUGAGUGCCUCUUCCCUUUUAUGCACGACACAAUGCAAACCUAAAAUAACAAAUAAAAACAAAGAAAAUAAUUAGAAAUAAAAUAUGUAAGUUUCCUCCCAUGAAGUGCUUCGUUCAACAUCGCAUGUCUCGACGGUUUACCACACUAUCCAUGUGGAUAAAC